RNAcentral lists this ribosomal RNA (444 nucleotides) under uncultured bacterium. RNAcentral's name for it is "bacterial SSU rRNA". It matches the Rfam family "Bacterial small subunit ribosomal RNA", at positions 331 to 792 of the family's 1533-position model. The record is from RNAcentral.
CCAGACUCCUACGGGAGGCAGCAGUGGGGAAUAUUGCACAAUGGGGGAAACCCUGAUGCAGCGACGCCGCGUGAAGGAAGAAGUAUUUCGGUAUGUAAACUUCUAUCAGCAGGGAAGAAAAUGACGGUACCUGACUAAGAAGCCCCGGCUAACUACGUGCCAGCAGCCGCGGUAAUACGUAGGGGGCAAGCGUUAUCCGGAUUUACUGGGUGUAAAGGGGGCGCAGACGGCGAUGCAAGCCAGGAGUGAAAGCCCGGGGCCCAACCCCGGGACUGCUCUUGGAACUGCGUGGCUGGAGUGCAGGAGGGGCAGGCGGAAUUCCUGGUGUAGCGGUGAAAUGCGUAGAGAUCGGGAGGAACACCAGUGGCGAAGGCGGCCUACUGGGCUUUAACUGACGCUGAGGCACGAAAGCGUGGGUAGCAAACAGGAUUAGAUACCCGUGUA